This 658-nucleotide unclassified non-coding RNA is filed under the name Hevea brasiliensis (rubber tree). Lineage: Eukaryota; Viridiplantae; Streptophyta; Magnoliopsida; Malpighiales; Euphorbiaceae. The record is from RNAcentral.
AUCCAUUUGAGCCCACUUUGAUCUGGCCUUUUUAAAGUUCAGGUUGGUUUGGUUGGAAUUUGGACUUCCUUUUGUAAAAGGUCUAACUGAGUCGGUCAAUGCAUACUGUGUAUGUUUUGUUUGAGUUGGGCUUAAGAUUUAAGUUAAAACUUGGGAGUUGAAGUCAGCUUGGUCUGAUGACCCAUGCAUGGCGAUGGCAUAUUAAGUAAUGAUUACCUGGGUCUAAUUCUCUCAGAACUCCAGCCCAGUUUGUGUCUCUAUUAUGAAUUUACUAUUUAUUGCCCAUCAGAAACUGAAACACACACACAAGAUGCAAAGCCACAAGCCGGAAAAAGCCCACAAGAGAGAGUACACAAUUUCAAGUCACGAGAAAAUUGAAAUGAAAGGAUUUGUUCGGAAUUGGAUAAUGUGAAUGUCGGCAAGAUAUUUUGCUUAGCUGAAACAUGCAGACUUUUAACGUGGGCUGUUGAAUUGACUUUGCCGUGUUUAUUUUGUAGGCUCUUAUCAUAUUUUGCUUUCACAAGUAUUCAUUUGCUGUGGCCAAUUUUUGCUUUUUGCACAAUAUAAUUUUUGUAAAUGCAAAUAAUAAAUUUUUGUAAAUUUUUAAAAACUAAUUUUUGCUUUUUGCACAAUAAUUUUCUCUCACACACAUUACUAC